RNAcentral lists this ribosomal RNA (227 nucleotides) under uncultured bacterium. Its description in RNAcentral is "partial 16S ribosomal RNA". It matches the Rfam family "Bacterial small subunit ribosomal RNA", at positions 15 to 224 of the family's 1533-position model. The record is from RNAcentral.
GAUCCUGGCUCAGGACGAACGCUGGCGGCGUGCUUAACACAUGCAAGUCGAACGAGAAUCUGCGGAACGAGGAUUCGUCCAAGUGAAGCAGAGGACAGUGGCGGACGGGUGAGUAGCGCGUGAGGAACCUGGCCUUUCAGAGGGGGACAACAGUUGGAAACGACUGCUAAUACCGCAUGACACAUAGAUGUCGCAUGUCAUUUAUGUCAAAGAUUUAUCGCUGAAAG